CCACGUAGAGACUUGCUGGCUCCAGGGACCCCAGCCUCGCUCUGUGGCAGGGAACGAGCCUGGCACAGCGCGGGCCAGGAGGGAAGAGCGUGCUGCUGCGUCUCAGGGCUCCUGCCUGGCGAUAGCAAGUUUCGGCUUGCUCACAGAAGUAUGCGCUGGGCGAGAGACGGAUAGGCAGAGCAAGAGGGCAAUCGCAACGCGAGGCGCCAAGAUGAGAAUCUUUGGUUCAGACGGAGCCCCGGCUGCUAUUACUCCAUUUACCAUUCCGAGAUUUAUCACAGGAUUCAGAGGACUUGGACAGCAGGUUUUACCUAUGUGUCCCRCACCAACCGUAUCAGAGAAGACCUUGUUCUGGCUACAAGAUGGGUGAGUUCAAAGUGAUGAUUGUUCCUGCAAGAACUUGCUCUGCUAACAUGGAGGCCCAGAUUUGAGCCAAACUCUUUGCUUGACUCAUGAAUGGUAAUUUAGAUUAAGCAAACUGUCCAGCCCUUUAAACACUUUCGUGAUAUAAAUAAAGAACAAAUAUCUUGCA
RNAcentral lists this long non-coding RNA (532 nucleotides) under Dromaius novaehollandiae (emu). RNAcentral's name for it is "lncRNA (ENSDNVG00000016332.1)". Lineage: Eukaryota; Metazoa; Chordata; Aves; Casuariiformes; Dromaiidae. The record is from RNAcentral.